Diabrotica virgifera virgifera (western corn rootworm) is the source of this 1609-nucleotide long non-coding RNA. RefSeq lists it as uncharacterized. The transcript is spliced from 2 exons. The record is from RefSeq and is a predicted model, not a curated record. Lineage: Eukaryota; Metazoa; Arthropoda; Insecta; Coleoptera; Chrysomelidae.
GUUUUAUAUGACGGGAAGUGCCUUAACAACACAAAACAUUCCAGGAAUGUACUACCAAAGUUCUAUCAAUAUUUGAAUGUCCUGGACAUUUAGGGAACAUUCGAUGAACAUCUGAUUAAAUUAAUCCUGGAAUGUUACCACAAGACAUUCUGUGAACAUACUACCAAUGUUCCUAUAUUUCAAGUUGCCAAAUAAUAAAUACGUGUAACAGAUAUAACAUUACUUAUAACAGAAACUUGUGCAAAAACGAAGAGAGGCAUUUAUAAUGUUUCAACGUCAGCUGUCAACGUCAACGCAGAACAGAUAAAAGCAGAUUUGAAUAUCCGACCUUGUCAGUCAGCUGUUGUUACUAGGCCAAGGAUGGACGGGUGAUAUCGACACCCGGACCAUGAAAAAAGUUUAUAUGUUUUUUUGUGUAACGUGUAUGUGGCCGUUUCUUUCUGUUUUUUUGCUGUUUGCUGUUGUACGGAGGACUAAGCUAGCAUUCAAAAUUUAAAAAUCAAAUGUACAUUCCUAAGAUGCACUUUUUUACACCUCUAUGUAGCGGUACUUUUUUAGUAUUUGACCAUUAGCUCCGAUGAUGACGUUUAUGUCGAAAGCGCUCAGCUAAGGAAAUAAAAUUAUUUACACACUUUGACAUACUACAUUUUCAUUUUCCCUUAUUCAUUCAAGUGUGUACAAACUUAUCAGUCUUUCAACUAUUUAUAAUUAUUCUUUUGCGUUCAUUUUCAAAUUCGCCGCGCAUGUAUUUGUGCAUGGCGCUUAGAGAGGGCAUCACGAGACUAAAAACGACCAAUGUCGACCAACGACUUCACUUCGGCCAUCUUGGCCACCUUGCCGUGCGUGAUCGUUGUUUGUUUUUAUUUGUGCUUUUUAAGAAUAUUUUUUUAAUUCGGAUACUUUUAUAAUAACUUUAAUAGUAUUAUUAACAUAGUGCAUACAAUGGUGUCCUGUUCUCAACACAGUUGGAGUAGCAGAAGCAAUGUAGAUAAAAAAUCUGCAGAAAUAACGUUUCAAAGGUUAGUAUGCAAAUAUGUAAACAAAGGCAUGCCCCGUAUUUCAGAAAAUAAAAUGCAUAAAUCAGAAGAAUUAUUAUUUUAUUAGUUAAAAAUUGGUCAAAUCCAUUUAUUAUUUUAAUAAUUGCGAAUAAGCCACAAACUUAGCUUAUUCCUAGCUAAAAUAGUAAAUAAAGAUAAUAACAAAAGGAUUAUUUGUAAAAUUAAAAUAAUUCUUCUUCUUGCGUUUUUGCUAAUGUAUGCGUUUAUAAACAGGAUGGUAGACCACACACUAUAAUAGUACCAAUAAAUGAAUACACAGAAUAUUCUAGUCGGUUCGCUAAACUCAAUCUCAAUACCACUAAGUCUCAGACACAACUGGCUAGUGAUUUUAGUAAAUAAUUUUGCCAAUUUGGUAAAAUUGUCAAAAAAUUUUUUUUUUGUUUUGAUUCUGGCCUUGGUUCAGAACCUUUAGCCACGUAAUUACAUAUAAAAUUAUUAUUCGUUCAUAAGUAUAAAAUUGUCCAGUAUACACUUAAAAAUAAAGAAUAAUAAAAAAUAAAGCUUACAAAUAACAAUGUCUACUUACUAUGUUAAUAAAUACAACUAUGCUA